UACGUAGGGUCCGAGCGUUGUCCGGAAUUAUUGGGCGUAAAGGGCUCGUAGGCGGUUUGUCGCGUCGGGAGUGAAAACUCAGGGCUCAACCCUGAGCGUGCUUCCGAUACGGGCAGACUAGAGGUAGGCAGGGGAGAGCGGAACUCCUGGUGUAGCGGUGGAAUGCGCAGAUAUCAGGAAGAACACCGGUGGCGAAGGCGGCUCUCUGGGCCUUACCUGACGCUGAGGAGCGAAAGCGUGGGUAGCGAACAGG
RNAcentral lists this ribosomal RNA (253 nucleotides) under uncultured bacterium. RNAcentral describes it as "partial 16S ribosomal RNA". It matches the Rfam family "Bacterial small subunit ribosomal RNA", at positions 524 to 776 of the family's 1533-position model. The record is from RNAcentral.